UUGAAUCAAACUCAAUCAACAAACAAUAAUAAAUAAGUGUAAGUGCAAGAGAAUGGUCUCAUUUAAAGAAGGCCCAAGAGUAAGCCAUGUGAAGAAAAUAGAAACACACAAGUUAUAUUUACAAAGCAUUCAAUAAUUAAGUCGAAAGAAGUAAAAUCGAAGCGUACAUGGAUUAAAAUCGGGAUGCGAGGAUGUGAAUCAAAGUCACAUAACGCAAGGACAUGCAAGGCAAAAUGAAAUUG
RNAcentral lists this long non-coding RNA (242 nucleotides) under Lathyrus oleraceus (garden pea). RNAcentral describes it as "Pisum sativum (pea) long non-coding RNA (PSAT_LNC022693)". The record is from RNAcentral. Lineage: Eukaryota; Viridiplantae; Streptophyta; Magnoliopsida; Fabales; Fabaceae.